RNAcentral lists this ribosomal RNA (882 nucleotides) under uncultured bacterium. Its description in RNAcentral is "bacterial SSU rRNA". It matches the Rfam family "Bacterial small subunit ribosomal RNA", at positions 18 to 906 of the family's 1533-position model. The record is from RNAcentral.
AUGGGCUCAGGAUGAACGCUAGCGGGAGGCUUAACACAUGCAAGUCGAGGGGUAUAGUAGCAAUACUAGAGACCGGCGCACGGGUGAGUAACGCGUAUGCAACCUGCCCUUUACAGGAGGAUAGCCCGCUGAAAGGCGGAUUAAUACUCCAUAAGAUAGUACUGCUGCAUGGCAGAGCUAUAAAAGCUUCGGCGGUAAAGGAUGGGCAUGCGUGACAUUAGCUAGUUGGUAGGGUAACGGCCUACCAAGGCUACGAUGUCUAGGGGUUCUGAGAGGAAGGUCCCCCACACUGGUACUGAGACACGGACCAGACUCCUACGGGAGGCAGCAGUGAGGAAUAUUGGUCAAUGGGCGCGAGCCUGAACCAGCCAUCCCGCGUGCAGGAAGACGGCCCUAUGGGUUGUAAACUGCUUUUGUGCAGGAAGAACGACCGGAUCGUGAUCCGGGGUGACGGUACUGCAUGAAUAAGCACCGGCUAACUCCGUGCCAGCAGCCGCGGUAAUACGGAGGGUGCAAGCGUUAUCCGGAUUUAUUGGGUUUAAAGGGUGCGUAGGCGGUAAAAUAAGUCAGUGGUGAAAAGCUGCAGCUCAACUGUAGUCCUGCCAUUGAAACUGUUUUACUUGAGUAACCAUGAGGUAGGCGGAAUGUGUAGUGUAGCGGUGAAAUGCUUAGAUAUUACACAGAACACCGAUUGCGUAGGCAGCUUACUAGAGGUUCACUGACGCUGAUGCACGAAAGCGUGGGGAUCAAACAGGAUUAGAUACCCUGGUAGUCCACGCCGUAAACGAUGAUAACUCGCUGUUGGCGAUACACAGUCAGCGGCUUAGCGAAAGCGUUAAGUUAUCCACCUGGGGAGUACGCUCGCAAGAGUGAAACUCAAAG